This 343-nucleotide unclassified non-coding RNA is filed under the name soil metagenome. Its description in RNAcentral is "partial contains 5.8S ribosomal RNA, internal transcribed spacer 2, and large subunit ribosomal RNA". The stretch from base 1 to 120 matches the Rfam family "5.8S ribosomal RNA", at positions 35 to 154 of the family's 154-position model. The record is from RNAcentral.
GAUGAAGAACGCAGCGAAACGCGAUAUGUAAUGUGAAUUGCAGAAUCCAGUGAAUCAUCGAAUCUUUGAACGCACAUUGCGCCCGCCAGCAUUCUGGCGGGCAUGCCUGUUCGAGCGUCAUUUCAACCCUCGACCUCCCCUUGGGGAGGUCGGCGUUGGGGACCGGCAGCACACCGCCGGCCCUGAAAUGGAGUGGCGGCCCGUCCGCGGCGACCUCUGCGCAGUAAUACAGCUCGCACCGGGACCCCGACGCGGCCACGCCGUAAAACACCCAACUUCUGAACGUUGACCUCGAAUCAGGUAGGACUACCCGCUGAACUUAAGCAUAUCAAUAAGCGGAGGA